Molecule: RNA transcript, 4883 nt
Organism: Nothobranchius furzeri (turquoise killifish)
Lineage: Eukaryota; Metazoa; Chordata; Actinopteri; Cyprinodontiformes; Nothobranchiidae
Gene name: E3 SUMO-protein ligase ZBED1-like
Source: RefSeq, a predicted model, not a curated record
GAGGGGGUGCGGACGGAGGGCGAGCAGCUUCGCUGCGAGAGCCGAAUGACGCUGCUUGCAGCUUUAAUUUUCUAUUGUUCUCUGACCACAAAGCUCGUGUCGAAGCUAUCAAUCUAGAGCGGUGGUGCGAUUCCUCAGAAUGAUCAAACUACUGACAUGUUUCAGCUUAUUAUAGAAAAAAGACAUCAGAGUGUAAAGUGUUGCUUCUUUAUCAGAGGGUUAUUUAUGUUUUAAUUAUGUUUAUGUUUAUGUAUUUAGCAGACGCUUUUGUCCAAAGCAACUUACAAGUGAUAUUCGGCAUGUUGCCCUUGAGGCUAACAACAACAAUAACAACAACUUGACAUCAAUCAUGGAGAGGAGGGAACAAGGAGUGGACAGUAGAGAGGGGGGACGGGUGCAGGGAGGGUGCUAGUUUAGAAGACGCUCUCUGAAGAGCAGGGUCUUCAGGAGUUUCUUGAAAAUUUAAAAGGAAGCUCCAGUUCUGGUAGUGCUUGGUAGGUCAUUCCACAUUUGUGGAACGAUGCAUGAGAAGAGUCUGGAUUGUCCUGAGCGUGGUGUAGGCACUGCUAGCCGACGAUCCUGCGAUGACCGGAGCGGCCGGGCAGAGACGUAAGCCUUUGCAAGAGGAUUUAGGUAGAUGGGAGCCGUACCAUCUCGGACUUUGUAUGCUAUAGGGCUGCAACGAUUCCUCGAGUAACUCGAAUGAUUCGAGGACAAGAAAUAUUCGAGGAUUUUCCGCUGCCUCGAGGACUCGUUAAAUAGACCAUAGCUGAAAAAGACCGGCGUGUCGCACGGAUUCUUUAUGUGUUGCACAACGCGGUUACGUCACAGAUUAUAUGUGCCAUGCACUCUACUGCACAGCGCGCAGCGGUCUUGUCGUCUUUUCAGCUGGACAGCCGACAAUGGCAGACGCCACGGAAAUAAAUGAAAACAAGCAAGACCAAAACGAGGGAUAUAGGAAGCGACAGAAGCUAUCCAAGGUGUGGGAUCACUUUACGUUAAAAAGCAAGGAAAACGUCGCCGUAUGCAAGCAUUGCAAGGUGGAGCUAGCAUACCACAACAUCACUUCUUCCAUGCUGCAGCACCUCUUAAGAAAGCAUCCGACUGAGGGCUUGAGUGGACGUGCCGAGACCAGUGAAGCAGUGAAACAUCACAACCCGUCCUGGAUAGAUUUCUGCUGAAAGCACCUGCCUGCACCCCAGCACAAGCAGCCGUACUGACAGACCGCAUUCUAAAUAUGCUGGUUACAGACAUGCGCCCGCUGAGCAUGGUGGAGGAUGCAGGCUUCAAAGCGAUGAUUGCUGCUUUCCAGCCAAAUUAUGCUCUUCCAUCUCGGACCUUCUUCACAAAGCGGUUGGAAGAAAAAUAUGAAGACCUCAAAAACAAGAUGAAGAAAGCCCUGCAAGAGACUGACACCAUAGCACUUACUGCUGAUAUCUGGAUAAAUGUGGCAACAGAGGCCUACAUGGGGGUAACGUGCCACUACCUAGAAAACUGGAAAAUUGUGUCUCAUUGUCUCACCACUAUGCCUUUGGAGGAGAGGCAUACAGCUGCAAACAUUGCAGAUUGGAUUGAGGAGGUAAUUGCCAAAUUCAGCAUUCCACCAGAGAAAAUCAAGGCUGUUGUACAUGACAAUGGUGCUAAAGUCAUGCAACAAAGAUUUUGCAUGCAAAGCAUGGAUGGGAGCCAGUGACAUGUGCAGGACACACCCUCAACUUGGUUGUGCAAAACACUUUAAAAAGCCAACGGGCUAUCUCCAGGUGUGUGGGUGCAGCGAGAACUCCUGUCGAACAUUUUAAGAAAAGUGAAUUGGCAAGCACAAAGUUAAAGGUCAAGCAGAGGCACAUGGGGACCAAAGAAAACAUGCUGUUGCAGGAUGUCUGCACACGCUGGAACAGCACCUAUGCCAUGUUGUCAAGGCUGCAAGAACAAAGAUGACCAGUGACUGCUACAUUGUCUGACCCAGAAGUGACCCAAAGAGGGAAACAUUACCCGGAUCUCAAACCUGACCAGUGGAGCCUGAUUGAGGAGCUCAACCAGGUCCUUGAGCCCUUCCACUCUGCCACAGUUUUUAUGAGUGGAGAGCAAUAUGUUACGCUUUCUGCACUUCCACAUGUUGACAAAAUUAAGAAAUCACUCCAGAGUCAGAAUCUCGAGUCACCACCUGUGGUGUCAUUCCAGACUCAUGCAAAAGAACAGGUCACAACAAGAUGGAAAGACUUGGGUGAGUUCAAACCUGAGUCUCCAAACAUCACACUGCUUGCUGCUUUUCUGGAUCCCAGGUUUCGAAAACUCAAAUUCUUACCUGCUGGCCAAGCAUUAGGAGUCAAAAACGCAUUGCAAACCAUGGCACUUGCUGUCAAGCAGCAACUGAGACCUACUGGAUGCAGAAAUGAAGCAUCCAGCACAGCAGAGGGUGCUCCAUCUGCAGCACAUAAAGACAAGAUGACCACAUCCGUCCUUGACUCUGACUCCACCAGCAGUGAUGAAGAGCAGUGAUGAAGAACAGCUGUCAAAUGAAGCUAUACAGAAUGAGGUCUUGGCAUAUUUCAGAGAACAGUCCCUUCCAAAGACGGAUGAUCCUCUGAUCUGGUGGAAAGCUAAUGAACAACGCUUUCCAACAUUGGCGAAGCUGGCAAACCCCCUGCUCUGCAUUCCAGCUACAUCCACCCCAUCCGAGCGGUUGUUUUCCGCAGCAGGUAAUAUUGUGUCAAAGAAGAGGGCAAGCCUCAGCCCUGAGCAUGUAGAUGUGCUCACCUUCCUUCACUGCACAACCACAGACUCCUUGGAUGGAUUGUAGUUCCACUCCCCAGGCAGUCUCUUUAAAAUCCUUGUUUACAGUAGCAGGACUUCUGGUGGUCCCCCGGUCGAAGUUUCGAUCGAGGGGUAGUCGUGCUUUUUCUAUUUUGGCUCCAACUCUGUGGAACGAAUUGCCACUGAGCAUUAGACAGGCUCCAUCCCUUCAAGUUUUUAAGUCUCGUUUAAAGACUCAUUUUUAUCUGAUUGCAUUUCAGCGCUAGGGUCACUUGAAUUGCCCUAACAUUAUGGUUUUAACUAUUCUUCUUUUUAUACCGGAUGCUUGAUUUUAUUUUGUCCGACAUUUGUUUUUUUAAUCGAUUGGUCUUAUUCCAAUAUCUCUUAUCUGCAAUGCUGUUUGCUUGCUAUUUUAUGAUUUUAUGUUUUUAUCGUGCUUUUAUGCCCAUGUAUUGAGAAUGUUUUUCUUUUAAUGAUGUUGUUCAGCACCUUGGGCUUCGGAUAAUGUUGUAGAAGGUGCUAUACAAACAAAAUUUGAUUGAUUGAUUGAUUGUGUGCCAAGUUACUGUCUUACAUGUCAGUUCUGAAUAUAAAGCUGCACAUUUGAAGGACAGUGUUAACGGCACAAUUUAUUGCACAUUCUUUUUGAUACUAACCCCGGCUUUCCACCGGAGCCGUCAGCAGCACGUCAUAGCUGCUGAUAGGAACCGCUGUGGUCAACAGAACCUUUUCCACCGGAGCCGUCAGCAGCGCGAGUCGGCCGCGUCUCAGGAGCAGCAUGUCGCGGCCUUUACGCGCCGGUUCUAUUUUCUACGCGCGACGCCUCUGAAACGGGUCAAGUUCAACAUUUUUGGGGAAGGAAAGACAGGAAAUCAGAUGCGGAAAUGGAGAGAAGCUCCCGAGAUUUUCAGAAUAAAGAACGUACUGCCUUCCGGUUGCUUUACUUUAAAAAAGGUUACUAACUGUGCGGCCCCGUGAGAAGUUAUCACCUAGCUAGCGGUCUCCUUUGUUUUUCAGGUCCGUAUUGGCGAUUAUAAAACGGACAGAACAUAAAACACAAACCAUGUUGUAGUUUUCUCCUGCUUGUUGUUGUGUUUACUGACGAAGUCACUCGUGUGACUUCGUGCUCUGUCGGUGACAGCUGCUCCCCUGCUGCUUCGCGUCUCGUGGAAAGGGCCAAGCAGCAGCUUACGCGAGCAAGACGUGCUGCUGCAGUAACGUGCUGCUGACGGCUCCUGUGGAAACCCGGGGUUAGGGUGAUAACUGCUUUUUAGUAAUUCAAAGAAUAUUUUUAUAUUUUUAUGUAACUGUCUCAGGGAAUGUUAGGUUUAAAGUAAUAUUAUUUAUAUUUGUGUUUUCAUCUCAAAUGUUAAGGUGGAAGUAAUUUUAGUUCUCUGAUUUUUCUAAAGAAACAAUUACUAUUUUCCAUCAUACAAACACAUUAAUAAAAUGUCAUUUAUACAUAACAUUUAAAUUUGUUGUUUUCAUUAUUAAGUCUGUCUUUUUUUAUAUUGUAUAUUUAUAAUUGAACCUUAAUUUUGCAGAAGUAUGUUUUAUUCGAUUACUCGAUUAAUCGAUCGGGAUAUUCGAUAGAAUACUCGAUUACUAAAAUAUUCGAUAGCUGCAGCCCUAGUGUGCUAUUGUUAGCAAUUUGAAUUUGAUGCGUGCUGCUAGCGGUAGCCAGUGGAGCUCAAUGAACAGAGGGGUGACGUGUGCUCUUUUUGGCUGAUUGAAGACCAGACGCGCCACUGCGUUCUGGACCGUUUGAAAAGGUCUCACAGUACAGCCUGGAAGACCAGUUAGAAGGGCGUUGCAGUAAUCGAGGCGAGAGAUGACAGUAGAUUGCACCAAGAGCUGGGUGGCAUGUUGUGUUAGGUAUGGUCUGAUCUUUCCUAUGUUAUACAGCGCAAAGCGGCAUGAACGAGCAAUAGAGGCAACAUUAUCUUUAAUUAGCAUGUAAUUAGCAUGUAAUUAUCAUGUAAGUAGCAUGUAUGUUCUGCUGGGGUAAUGAUAUCAGCAAGUGAUUACCUUAAAGUGAUUUAAGUGUCUGUUCUUCUGAUUAACAUGUGAAUGUUGGUUGACUUAUCCCUCUGUCUCUCUCUCUGUAAACACACACACACACACACACA